AAAAAAGCCCCAGACAAUGCCUGGGGCAUCAAAGAGGUCAACACCCCGACACCGACCUCCCGGGCCUGCCUACCUGCCUUGCUGCUCUCAGAGGCACAGUUUGGGGAGGGAGGCGGGUGUAGCCCCAUCUUCGCACCAGUAGCUGAUCUGAUCUUAAGAGGCUUCCAUUGCCCACCCUGGAGACCUCACAGCCCACAGCUCAGUCCUUAAAGACGACUCAGUGGCUGAGGCCUCAUAAAGAUGAACCAGGUGAUGCAGUGAGGGGGGAUUUUAUGAGAAAACCCAUGGAAAAUGGGCUUGAGCCUUUUGAAAGAUUCUUUCUGCCUUGUUCAUUAAAUGCUAUGCUAACCCGUCCAAUAUCCUCUUAAAUCCUUUGUAUGGCAGUUCUAAACGUGCUUUCUCCUGUUGGUUGUUUGUGACCGCAAACGUCCUGUCCAGGGGGGAGACUCGGGAGCCCUCCCAUCACCGUGGUCCCGUAGAGCCCUAGGAGGACAUUCUGUUCGUGUUCGCACCACAGCCCCUCACAUCAAGGGCCCCAGGAAGGAGCCUUGAGUCCCCUAGGUCUCAGUACAGAGGGCACACACAGAGGAUGCACCCUGCUGACGGGGCCCCUGCCCUUGCUCACCAGGUUCUGGCCCCUGAGGUCUGCUCCAGGCCCUCAAAUACGCCAGUCUCUCUCUCCUGCCUUAAGGCCUUUGCUCGUGCUGGCCCCACGGUCUGUGGCCCAGCCCCUGACCUCUGACCUGUUGGUUCUUCCAUUCUUCGGAGAGCAGCUGAAGCUCCACACUGCAGAGGGCCCCGGAUCUGCUUUAAUCAGCUGACUUGUUUUCUAGACCAGGUCUCUGCUGGGAAGUGAUGCUUGUGCUAAUUCCUGCAGAAUUAACUCCUGACCACAUAACCCUCCCCAGUGGCCUAAUGUGUAGCUGGCGUUUCCCAAACAUGGACGGAUUCCCCUUGGCUGUGGAGUCCAGUAAGUGAUUUCUGUGACUGGAAGAAAAUGAGGACUCAAAAUAGGUGCGAGGUGGCCCCUGUCGCUGUUAAAGAGCCUGUUGGUGACGCCCAGGUGAUAACGGGUAAGAAAGCUUCCAACACCUGCCAGUCAUUAUGACUGGGUCCUUUCAAGGCCUCCAACUGUUAGGUGCUCCAAAGAAGAGCUUUCCUUGGGAAAGAAUGUUCUUAUUUUUGAGGCAGUUUUAAGUGUAACUGGAUUAACCCAAAGACCUCUACUUGCUUAUUAUAGGGAAAUGUAUCCAGAGGAAAGGAACACAUUCCCAUUUCUCCAGAGAGCUCUUCAAGAAAGGUAAUCCUGCUUUACCCCAAACUUUCUGCUAAAUUCCAAGGCAGAGGUGUUUUAAUUAAGUGUGUGAUAAAUACCUAUGGUGGCCAGGACAGUAAGUAGGUCAUGUUCCUCACCUAGCUGCAGAGCCUUUUUUAAGAGCUGCAGGGCAUGGUUUUGUAGAGUUCUGAUUGCUUUUUGUGAAAUUGCUGUAGGCUUUCAUUCACAUAGUGAUUUGUAUGCAAAUCCUUGCGGGAGGCUGAAAUGCUGUUUGUUUGCUUUUUUAUUGUUUUUUUUUGUUUGUUUUUGUACACUUUCUUGUUCUAGAAAAGGUUUAUGAUAAUUUAUACAAGAUUAUAAAAGAUAAAAUAAAAACAAAUAAGCGAAGAAAUUGGACCACAGAGGGUGGAAAGCCAAGAUAAAUCUAGGAGUAAGAUUUAUAGGCAGGUAUAAAUAAACUAUAAAUUUAAUUCUGAUCUUAGUAGCAGUUUCACAGAGAGGGAAAUACAAGCGGGUAUAUGUUUGUGUUAAUCAUGCCUUUUUUAACAUCUGUAUUGGAGUAUAAUUGCUUUACGAUGUAAUCAUACCUUUUUAUUCAGAUGCUUUGACAUCUUGGGGUCUUCAUGACCUUGUGAAGACACCCCCCCACACACACAAGGGCUGGCUAAUUCCUGGAGUUAGUAAACAACUGGCCUUCAAGCACCUUCCGAAUGCAAAGCAACCAAUGCUACACCCCAACUACCUCCUCUGGGCCACAUCCCCCUACCCUAAUCACCCAGGGCCAGGUAGCAGACACCUAGGGACAGCGCCUAUGCCCCAAAGCCCACUGAGAUUAUUCACACUCAAUUACUCAAAAUCAAAUUAGCCAAUAUUACACCUGCUUCCCCUGCCUCUUCUUGCCUUGCUUGCAGAAACCACAAUAAAGGCUCCUGGCUGAAUUUUCCCCACUCCCUCUGUUUUCUGGCUGACCUUGG
Molecule: non-coding RNA, 2250 nt
Organism: Kogia breviceps (pygmy sperm whale)
Lineage: Eukaryota; Metazoa; Chordata; Mammalia; Artiodactyla; Physeteridae
Source: RefSeq, a predicted model, not a curated record